UUCUGAUCUCUUGAAGAGGGUUUGUCUGAUUCAGCCACAAAGGGAUUGGUUAAAGCACUGCCAUCUUCUCAUAUAGUUCUUUAUGGGACGCCGCUGCCGUAUCCUGGUUAUUGCACAGUUUAUGCAGUUUUGAUUGGUGAAUGCAAGACUCGCAAUGUUUCUCCGGUUUGGUAUGGUACUCACACGUCUCGCAGAGCUUUAUAGCAGUUGCAAGGGAUUGGUGAUCGUUCGUGACCUUUGUAAUGGAAUAACUAGAAUAGAAGUUUGGUGAGUAUUGCAUCUUUUUUCUUUCUUUUCUUUUGAACUUAAAUCGUUGUAGAAUUGGAAUAGCUUUGAAAUUUCAAAUCAAGCUAACCAAGCUCACAAGGCGGCACGAUCAAUUUCUUUAAAUGAUUCAUCCAUGUUUGAAUAUAGUGCCCCUACCAUUGCGAUGUUUCUGUUCAUCUAUAUAUGCCAUCUCUUGAUGCAAUCUAUUUAUAUCUAUGGCACUUGUCAA
Molecule: long non-coding RNA, 496 nt
Organism: Arabidopsis lyrata subsp. lyrata
Lineage: Eukaryota; Viridiplantae; Streptophyta; Magnoliopsida; Brassicales; Brassicaceae
Exons: 3
Source: RefSeq, a predicted model, not a curated record